AAUUUACCUUAAAUAAUUGUAUCUCAAUCUCUAAAUUGAACUUUAAUCACAUACAGGAGGCUCUUGCAGGGUCUAGCAAGCUAUGAACAUAGCAGGGGAUAAGACAAUCUUAAUUACACAGAACUUGGAAUAAAAAAAGCCUAAAUAGGGCUCUGUUUACAGGAAGUGUUUAUGGAAGGCUGUGCAAGUCACAUGCAAGGAGGUGUGACUAGGGUUCAUAAACAAAGGGAUUUAACUCCUAAAUGGCAGAGGAUUGAGCAGUGAGGCUGCAGGGGCAUGUUCUAUACACCAAAACUGCUUCAUUAAGCUAAAGUUGUUCGAGUGACUAUAGUGUCCCUUUAAUACUAUGAAUAUAAUUAGGAUUAUUGAUAAAACAAGAACGGUUAAGAUUCACUGCUAGUAAGUAGUGAUGGUAGUGAACAGGACUGUAGAAGAAUGAAAG
Pelobates cultripes (western spadefoot toad) is the source of this 442-nucleotide non-coding RNA. Lineage: Eukaryota; Metazoa; Chordata; Amphibia; Anura; Pelobatidae. The record is from the annotation of a GenBank genome assembly.